Molecule: ribosomal RNA, 467 nt
Filed under: uncultured bacterium
Lineage: Bacteria
Description: partial 16S ribosomal RNA
Rfam family: Bacterial small subunit ribosomal RNA
Source: RNAcentral
GACGAACGCUGGCGGCGUGCUUAACACAUGCAAGUCGAACGGAAAGGCCCUGCUUUUGUGGGGUGCUCGAGUGGCGAACGGGUGAGUAACACGUGAGUAACCUGCCCUUGACUUUGGGAUAACUUCAGGAAACUGGGGCUAAUACCGGAUAGGAGCUCCUGCUGCAUGGUGGGGGUUGGAAAGUUUCGGCGGUUGGGGAUGGACUCGCGGCUUAUCAGCUUGUUGGUGGGGUAGUGGCUUACCAAGGCUUUGACGGGUAGCCGGCCUGAGAGGGUGACCGGCCACAUUGGGACUGAGAUACGGCCCAGACUCCUACGGGAGGCAGCAGUGGGGAAUAUUGCACAAUGGGCGGAAGCCUGAUGCAGAAACGCCGCGUGCGGGAUGACGGCCUUCGGGUUGUAAACCGCUUCCGCCUGUGACGAAGCGUGAGUGACGGUAAUGGGUAAAGAAGCACCGGCUAACUACGG